UACGGAAGGGGCUAGCGUUGUUCGGAAUUACUGGGCGUAAAGAGCGCGUAGGCGGCUUACCAAGUUGGGGGUGAAAUCCCGGAGCUCAACUCCGGAACUGCCUUGAAAACUGGUAGGCUCGAGUCCGGAAGAGGGGCGUGGAAUUCCCAGUGUAGAGGUGAAAUUCGUAGAUAUUGGGAAGAACGCCGGUGGCGAAGGCGGCGCCCUGGACCGGUACUGACGCUGAGGAGCGAAAGCGUGGGCAGCAAACAGG
This 253-nucleotide ribosomal RNA is filed under the name uncultured bacterium. RNAcentral describes it as "partial 16S ribosomal RNA". It matches the Rfam family "Bacterial small subunit ribosomal RNA", at positions 524 to 776 of the family's 1533-position model. The record is from RNAcentral.